AAGGUUUUAAGUUAAAAAAACUAUUAGCCUUCAAAGCUAAAAAUAAAAUUUAUUUUAAACCUUA
This 64-nucleotide transfer RNA is filed under the name Phryganogryllacris xiai. Its description in RNAcentral is "tRNA-Trp". It matches the Rfam family "tRNA". Rfam says of the family: Transfer RNA (tRNA) molecules are approximately 80 nucleotides in length. Their secondary structure includes four short double-helical elements and three loops (D, anti-codon, and T loops). Lineage: Eukaryota; Metazoa; Arthropoda; Insecta; Orthoptera; Gryllacrididae. The record is from RNAcentral.